Molecule: ribosomal RNA, 119 nt
Filed under: Triticum aestivum (bread wheat)
Lineage: Eukaryota; Viridiplantae; Streptophyta; Magnoliopsida; Poales; Poaceae
Also listed under: 1 other name
Source: RNAcentral
GGAUGCGAUCAUACCAGCACUAAAGCAUCGGAUCCCAUCAGAACUCCGAAGUUAAGCGUGCUUGGGCGAGACUAGUACUAGGAUGGGUGACCUCCUGGGAAGUCUUCGUGUUGCAUUCC